RNAcentral lists this ribosomal RNA (448 nucleotides) under uncultured bacterium. Its description in RNAcentral is "bacterial SSU rRNA". It matches the Rfam family "Bacterial small subunit ribosomal RNA", at positions 355 to 796 of the family's 1533-position model. The record is from RNAcentral.
UCGAGAAUUUUUCACAAUGGGGGAAACCCUGAUGGAGCGACGCCGCGUGGGGGAUGAAUGGCUUCGGCCCGUAAACCCCUGUCAUUUGCGAACAAACCUUUGCGGAUAACACAUGCAAAGUUGAUAGUAGCGGAAGAGGAAGGGACGGCUAACUCUGUGCCAGCAGCCGCGGUAAUACAGAGGUCCCAAGCGUUGUUCGGAUUCACUGGGCGUAAAGGGUGCGUAGGUGGCCGGGUAAGUCUGAUGUGAAAUCUCGGAGCUCAACUCCGAAACUGCAUUGGAUACUAUCCGGCUGGAGGGUCGGAAGGGGGACUGGAAUUCUCGGUGUAGCAGUGAAAUGCGUAGAUAUCGAGAGGAACACCAGUGGCGAAGGCGAGUCCCUGGACGACUCCUGACACUGAGGCACGAAAGCUAGGGGAGCAAACAGGAUUAGAUACCCCUGUAGUCC